This 1346-nucleotide ribosomal RNA is filed under the name uncultured bacterium. RNAcentral's name for it is "partial 16S ribosomal RNA". It matches the Rfam family "Bacterial small subunit ribosomal RNA", at positions 28 to 1381 of the family's 1533-position model. The record is from RNAcentral.
GACGAACGCUGGCGGCGUGCUUAACACAUGCAAGUCGAACGGGAAGGCCCUGCUUUUGUGGGGUGCUCGAGUGGCGAACGGGUGAGUAACACGUGAGUAACCUGCCCUUGACUUUGGGAUAACUUCAGGAAACUGGGGCUAAUACCGGAUAGGAGCUCCUGCUGCAUGGUGGGGGUUGGAAAGUUUCGGCGGUUGGGGAUGGACUCGCGGCUUAUCAGCUUGUUGGUGGGGUAGUGGCUUACCAAGGCUUUGACGGGUAGCCGGCCUGAGAGGGUGACCGGCCACAUUGGGACUGAGAUACGGCCCAGACUCCUACGGGAGGCAGCAGUGGGGAAUAUUGCACAAUGGGCGGAAGCCUGAUGCAGCAACGCCGCGUGCGGGAUGACGGCCUUCGGGUUGUAAACCGCUUUCGCCUGUGACGAAGCGUGAGUGACGGUAAUGGGUAAAGAAGCACCGGCUAACUACGUGCCAGCAGCCGCGGUGAUACGUAGGGUGCGAGCGUUGUCCGGAUUUAUUGGGCGUAAAGGGCUCGUAGGUGGUUGAUCGCGUCGGAAGUGUAAUCUUGGGGCUUAACCCUGAGCGUGCUUUCGAUACGGGUUGACUUGAGGAAGGUAGGGGAGAAUGGAAUUCCUGGUGGAGCGGUGGAAUGCGCAGAUAUCAGGAGGAACACCAGUGGCGAAGGCGGUUCUCUGGGCCUUUCCUGACGCUGAGGAGCGAAAGCGUGGGGAGCGAACAGGCUUAGAUACCCUGGUAGUCCACGCUGUAAACGGUGGGUACUAGGUGUGGGGUCCAUUCCACGGGUUCCGUGCCGUAGCUAACGCUUUAAGUACCCCGCCUGGGGAGUACGGCCGCAAGGCUAAAACUCAAAGGAAUUGACGGGGCCCCGCACAAGCGGCGGAGCAUGCGGAUUAAUUCGAUGCAACGCGUAGAACCUUACCUGGGUUUGACAUGGAUCGGGAGUGCUCAGAGAUGGGUGUGCCUCUUUUGGGGUCGGUUCACAGGUGGUGCAUGGCUGUCGUCAGCUCGUGUCGUGAGAUGUUGGGUUAAGUCCCGCAACGAGCGCAACCCUUGUUCACUGUUGCCAGCACGUUAUGGUGGGGACUCAGUGGAGACCGCCGGGGUCAACUCGGAGGAAGGUGGGGAUGACGUCAAGUCAUCAUGCCCCUUAUGUCCAGGGCUUCACGCAUGCUACAAUGGCUGGUACAGAGAGUGGCGAGCCUGUGAGGGUGAGCGAAUCUCGGAAAGCCGGUCUCAGUUCGGAUUGGGGUCUGCAACUCGACCUCAUGAAGUCGGAGUCGCUAGUAAUCGCAGAUCAGCAACGCUGCGGUGAAUACGUCCCCGGGGCU